Molecule: small nucleolar RNA, 71 nt
Organism: Nerophis ophidion (straightnose pipefish)
Lineage: Eukaryota; Metazoa; Chordata; Actinopteri; Syngnathiformes; Syngnathidae
Source: RefSeq, a predicted model, not a curated record
UGUGGAAAUGAUUUUCUUAUACCGCCCCAGUCUGAAGAUUCAUGACUGAUUGGUAACAUUACUGAUCCACA